Camelina sativa (false flax) is the source of this 661-nucleotide non-coding RNA. NCBI's taxonomy places the organism in Eukaryota, Viridiplantae, Streptophyta, Magnoliopsida, Brassicales, Brassicaceae. The record is from RefSeq and is a predicted model, not a curated record.
UGAACUGUCUGUCAAUUCAUAGGAGGAGACGAAGAAAUGCAACAGAGAUUGGAAGUUUGGCCUAUUGGAGUUGGCUGAUUCUCAUUAUGCUGCAGUCUGUAUUGAAGAUGAUCAAGCUAGUGAAGGAGCUCCUCUGAGGGUAAUUGUUCGAAAAACCAUCCCAUUUGUAGAAGAUGAACUUAUUUCUGAAAGCAAAUUUCUUUAGACUUGGGAGUAGUGGAGAGAAAAAGAAGAUGUGUACUAGUAUGGAGUGAUACUACUUCAGACCAUCACAGGCAAGUAGUGACUGCAGGCUCUUCAUAGAUGGGAAGUUUAAAGCUUCAGGUCUGUUCUGUUUCAGUCAGAACAUUACAAAUUUGAAACCUUUAUGCUAUUUAUUGAAGCUGGAGAAGGUUUUAAGAGAUGAACCACAGUACUCAGUAGCUUAGCAGCUCCAUCUGUGAAAGAAUCAUAUUCAUAUGCUUAGUCGCUGAGGAACGGAAUUUCCUAUCAACUGGCUUGGAAUCUGCUGUAUACAAUUCAAGUGCAGCAAGGAUGGAGACCAAGCAGUGGGAAUCAUGAAUCCGCCAUGAAUGCAAUAUAUGAAUAAAAUGUUCAUAAAGAGAGACAAAAAAAGUGUAGAAACAGUAACAAGUGUAUAUGACAUCUUCUAUUAGCUGAA